CUCUCGCUCUCUCGCUCGAGCUCUCUGACACAGUCUAUCUAUGUAUCUGUCUGUCUAUGUCUCUCUCCUUCUCUUUCUCAAAGAGUUAAAAAUGUUAAGGGUUAAAAAGAGGGAAAAUGACCAAUUUAAAAGAGGCAGAGUGUAAAUUUACCCAUUUUAGAAACAAUUGUUAUAUAGGGUCGGUCCAAAGCGGUUAAUCAUAUCAUCAAAUUAGGUUCUCUCACGAUCCACAAGUUCGUUACAUUCACACACAUAUAUAUAUAACACUGGUACUGGUAUAUAUAUAUAUAUCGUAAUCUCUGUAACUAGCGAUUUGGGAAUUGAGAUCUGUGUUUCUCUCUCAAAUCGUCUUUGACAAAGAUGUAUGGAUUCGAAGCAAUGACAUUCAACAUCCAUGGCGGUUACCUGGAAGCGAUCGUGAGGGGAUACAGAUCUGGUUUGCUCACCGCCGCCGAUUACAACAAUCUCUGCCAGUGCGAAACCCUAGAUGACAUCAAGAUGCACCUCCCCGCUACCGAAUACGGACCCUACCUCCAAAACGAACCUUCCCCGUUGCAUACAACUACAAUUGUGGAGAAAUGCACUCUUAAACUGGUUGACGAGUACAAGCACAUGCUAUGCCAAGCCACAGAGCCAUUGUCAACCUUUCUUGAGUAUAUCACAUAUGGUCACAUGAUUGACAACGUUGUCCUGAUCGUUACUGGAACCUUGCAUGAGAGAGAUGUUCAGGAAUUGUUAGAGAAAUGCCACCCUUUGGGCAUGUUUGACAGUAUUGCUACCCUGGCAGUUGCUCAGAAUAUGCGGGAACUAUAUAGACUGGUGCUUGUUGACACGCCUUUGGCUCCGUACUUCUCUGAGUGUAUCACAUCUGAGGGUUUGGCAUUAUCUUCAAUUGGUGAAUACAGGAGGGCUGAGGAGGCACAUAUGAAAUCAAUUCAACUUGAUCCAAGUUUCCUUGAGGCAUGGGCUCAUUUAACACAGGAGGUUAUAGGAAUGUCACUGCUUGCCCGAAGUGUCCUCUUGUAAGAGAAGAGAUUAGAGAGUUCAUGUCCAAAAAAAAGACACAAAAAGAAGAAAUGAACAUGUUGCUUGAUUUUGAUGACAUGGACAUGGAAGAUGAAGAUGAAGAUGAUGAUGUCGUUGAGAUCAAUGUCAAUCAACACCGCAAGUUGACAAGUAGUAGCCAAGGUUCAUUCAAAUCCAAAUCCGAAUCCAAAUCAAAAAUGCCAAAGAGAAAAGGGCCUAUGGAUGUUUACUUCACACCCAAUCCUGAAUCAGUGGUGAAAAAUCGAAAAGACCAAGCAAAAGGGAAACAAACCAAAAUUGAUGCAAAUGACCCUUACAAAAAAGCAAUGAGAGCUCGGGCACUGCAAAGAUUUGCAAGGUGGAUGCAUGAUGCUGGUAUCCCUUUUAAUGCAAUAAAUUAUGAGAGUUUUGGACCAAUGGUUGAAGCCAUUGGCCAAUAUGGUCCUGGUAUGGUAUGAAGCCACCGACUUACCAUGAAGUGCGGGUUACCCAACUCAAAAAAGAAGUGAAACAUACUGAAGAUUUGAUGAAGUAUCAUAAAGAGAAUUGUGCAAAAUACGGGUGUUCCAUAAUGGCUGAUGGUUGGACUGAUAAGAGAGAAAGGACAUUGAUUAACUUUUUAGUUAAUUGUCCAAGAGGAACCAUGUUUGUUGAGUCGGUUGAUGUUUCUAGCUAUUCAAAGUAUGGGCAAAAGCUAUUUGAAUUACCAGACAAGUUUGUGGAGAAAGUUGGAAAAGAGAAUGUGGUGCAAGUUAUCACUGAUAGUGCUGCAGCUAAUGUGUUGGCGGGUAAGAAUAUUUCCUCAUUCCUUACAUCAAAAUUGUUUACUCAUAGUUUGUUUUGUAUUUAAAAUUUAAAAACUUGAAAAUAAUAAUUCUUCAUUAUUGUUACAUUAUAGGGAGGUUUUUGGAAGCUAAGUAUGAACACUUGUAUUGGACACCAUGUGUUGCUCAUUGUUUGGACUUGAUGUUAGAAGACAUUUUCAAGAUACCUAGACUGAAAAAGACAUUUGAAAGGGGUAUUGCAGUACAUGGCUACAUUUACAAUCGGCCUACGUUGCUAAACAUGAUGAGUCGCUAUACAAAUUUGAAGAAUUUGAUCAAGCCUGCAAAAACUAGAUUUGCAACCGCCUUUUUGACUUUGUCUAGGAUGCAUCAACAAAAAAACAAUUUGAGAAAGAUGGUUACCUCCGAAGACUGGACCUCAAGCAAAUGGGCAAAGGAGCCAUAAGGUAAAAGAAUGGCACAAACUUUGUUGAUGCCUUCAUUUUGGAAUACUGUUGUGUUUGCCCUUAAGGUCUCGGGUCCUCUUGUCAAAGUGCUUAGAUUGGUUGAUACCGAGAAGAAACCUCCCAUGGGAUACAUUUAUGAGGCAAUGGAUAGGGCAAAAGAAUGCAUUGCAAGUUCAUUUGAUCAUAAAGAAGAGAAGUAUAAUGAAAUCUUCAAAAUCAUUGACAAAAGAUGGGAAGUCCAAUUGCAUCGACCUUUACAUGCAGCUGCGCAUUUUCUUAACCCAGAAUUCUUUUACCCAAAAGCGUUAGAAGUGCAAAGAGAUCAUGAAGUGAUGAAUGGGUUUUAUGAAUGCAUGCAAAGGUUGGUCCCGGAUGUCACUGUUCAAGAUUUGAUCACUAAUGAGAUGAGUAUUUAUAUGAAGGCUGAGAGUCUUUUUGGCAAGGCUGUUGCGAUUAGGCAAAGAAAUACAAGAGUACCAGCUGAUUGGUGGGCAUCAUAUGGUUCUUAUACUCCAAACUUGCAAACUUUUGCCAUAAAAGUCCUUAGCCUAACAUGUAGUUCAUCGGGUUGUGAACGAAAUUGGAGUGUAUUCGAACAUCUUCAUAGCAAGAAAAGAAAUAGAUUUGAACAACGUCUCAAUGAUUUAGUGUAUGUCAAAUACAAUAGAACAUUGAGAUUUAGGUAUGACAUGCGCAACACUCUUGAUCCCAUAUCUUUGCAAAAUAUUGAUGAAAACAAUGAGUGGUUGCUUAAGAGGAUGGAUUGAGAAUCAGAAGAAGAUAAUGAGCCUGUGUUUGAUGAUGAUGAUGGCUUGACGUGGGCCACUGUUGCUAGAGCUUCUGGAGUAGAAGAAAGUAGCCAUGCAAGUAGAGCAACAAGUUUACGCUCAAAGGCACAACCGAGGAUAUUUAAAUCAUCAACAUUGACUCCACUUCAAUUAAUAGAUGAAGAGGAAGCGGGCUCAGAUGACACAGAGGAGGAAGAUGUUGAGGGAUACAAAUCAACUGAUGGAGAAGAAGAUGAUAGCUUGCUUGCCAUUGAUGUUGAGGAUGAUGAUUGACUGACACCGACCUAACCUACCAUUUCUUUUGAUGUUGAUGUUUUUAAGUGUGAAGACAUAUAUUAAUAUUUGUUGGAUAUUUAUGUUUUGGAUGUUUAGUGUUUAUGUUUUUAUUUUAUUGAAUGUGGAUUAUUUGAUCUUUGAAAAUUAAAAUGUUUUGUAAUAUGCACUUUCAUGGC
This is a non-coding RNA of Camellia sinensis, 3497 nucleotides long. The record is from RefSeq and is a predicted model, not a curated record. Lineage: Eukaryota; Viridiplantae; Streptophyta; Magnoliopsida; Ericales; Theaceae.